UGCCUCCUCCUGCGGGCACGAUGCAGUUUAUGUUGCUUUUUAGUCGUCAGGGGAAGCUGAGACUUCAGAAGUGGUAUGUCCCGUUGUCUGACAAAGAGAAGAAGAAAAUCACAAGGGAACUUGUUCAGACAGUGCUGGCCCGUAAACCGAAAAUGUGCAGCUUCCUGGAGUGGAGAGACCUGAAGAUUGUCUACAAAAGAUAUGCAAGCCUUUAUUUCUGCUGUGCUAUUGAAGAUCAGGACAAUGAACUGAUAACCCUGGAAAUAAUUCAUCGUUAUGUGGAACUACUUGACAAGUAUUUUGGCAGUGUGUGUGAACUUGAUAUCAUCUUCAAUUUUGAAAAGGCUUAUUUUAUUCUGGAUGAGUUCCUGUUGGGAGGGGAAGUUCAGGAGACCUCCAAGAAAAACGUUCUCAAAGCCAUUGAGCAGGCAGAUCUGUUACAGGAGAGCCAGAAUGAAGACUGGGGAGGUUUGUCUGAGGAUAUCUUAUGAUUAAGAGCAGUCUAAGGCUUUAGCCCUUUUGACCCCCCUCUAAAUUGGCCCCUAAGAGAGGAAUACAUUGUGGCAGUGUUACAAAGAAAAGCCACGUCAUGAAUACUUUAAUGUCCCAGUGUACUAAAUGACUUCAUUCAUCAUGCAUGCAGCAUUUCAGAGAGGAGAUAGACCUGACUUAUUCAUGGCAGAACCUUAUCCUCAGCUUGGUGAAAUCAAUCAUCUUGAACACAAUAGACUAUACCACAACCAUUAUCUUUGCUGUUGUACUUUCCUUCACCCCUUCUGUUUGUAUAUUCUCAUGUCUCAUCUUGAUAUAACUUGUUCCUGUCAGCAUAUGAUCUCUUACUGUGUGAAAAGUUCCAAGUCUUAUGUUCAACGUUUGUGUGGAAGUCAUUCAUUUGAAUAAGUACAUACUGUGUAACAUUACUUAAUCUUUUAAAUAUUUCAGCUGUGGUGUUACUUGAAAAUACAUAUAAAAUUGUAGUAUACAUCAGAAGUUUAUACAGAGAAACUAGUGAUCCCAUGGAAUAGUAUAAGGCUUAUCUUUUUAAAGUGUGUAUAGAAUAUAUACAUACAUAUGUAUAAGCUUUAUGUAUAGUUGUAAAACUGCAUACAUCUCUAAUGAAAAAUGCAAAAGUAAAAUGCAUUUUUCUCUACCUUUACUUUUAAUUUCUUUUGAAAGUAUUUGUUGGGGUAGUGGUGA
Molecule: RNA transcript, 1197 nt
Organism: Terrapene triunguis (Three-toed box turtle)
Lineage: Eukaryota; Metazoa; Chordata; Testudines; Emydidae
Gene name: AP-1 complex subunit sigma-2
Exons: 7
Source: RefSeq, a predicted model, not a curated record